GGAGGUGUCGCAUAGUGGUCAAUUGCACAGGUUUGCUAAACCUGACCGGGUUUCCGGUUCGUGGGUUCGAAUCCCACCACCUCCG
This 85-nucleotide transfer RNA is filed under the name Patescibacteria group bacterium. RNAcentral's name for it is "tRNA-Ser". It matches the Rfam family "tRNA". Rfam says of the family: Transfer RNA (tRNA) molecules are approximately 80 nucleotides in length. Their secondary structure includes four short double-helical elements and three loops (D, anti-codon, and T loops). Further hydrogen bonds mediate the characteristic L-shaped molecular structure. tRNAs have two regions of fundamental functional importance: the anti-codon, which is responsible for specific mRNA codon recognition, and the 3' end, to which the tRNAs corresponding amino acid is attached (by aminoacyl-tRNA synthetases). tRNAs cope with the degeneracy of the genetic code in two manners: having more than one tRNA (with a specific anti-codon) for a particular amino acid; and 'wobble' base-pairing, i.e. permitting non-standard base-pairing at the 3rd anti-codon position. The record is from RNAcentral.